GUGGGGAAUCUUGUGCAAUGGGCGCAAGCCUGACACAGCAACGCCGCGUGCGGGAAGAAGGCCUUCGGGUCGUAAACCGCUUUCAGCAGGAACGAAAAUGACGGUACCUGCAGAAGAAGGUGCGGCCAACUACGUGCCAGCAGCCGCGGUGACACGUAGGCACCAAGCGUUGUCCGGAUUUAUUGGGCGUAAAGAGCUCGUAGGCGGUUCAGCAAGUCGGGUGUGAAAACUCUGGGCUUAACCCAGAGCCUGCACCCGAAACUGCUGUGACUAGAGUUCGGUAGGGGAGCGGGGAAUUCCUAGUGUAGCGGUGAAAUGCGCAGAUAUUAGGAGGAACACCGGUGGCGAAGGCGCCGCUCUGGGCCGAAACUGACGCUGAGGAGCGAAAGCGUGGGUAGCAAACAGGAUUAGAAACCCUGGUAGUCC
Molecule: ribosomal RNA, 426 nt
Filed under: uncultured bacterium
Lineage: Bacteria
Description: bacterial SSU rRNA
Rfam family: Bacterial small subunit ribosomal RNA
Source: RNAcentral